This is a long non-coding RNA of Myotis brandtii (Brandt's bat), 653 nucleotides long. RefSeq lists it as uncharacterized. The record is from RefSeq and is a predicted model, not a curated record. NCBI's taxonomy places the organism in Eukaryota, Metazoa, Chordata, Mammalia, Chiroptera, Vespertilionidae. The transcript has 3 exons.
GGGCGCUCGGGAACGAGCUCCCGCAGAUUGGGUGCCCUGUCUAUGACCCAUUUUAUAAUAACAACACUAUCUACUUUAUAGGCUCUUGUGAAAAUUAAGUGCAAUAAUUUACGUAAAACAAACAGUGCCCGGCACAUAGUAAUCGCCUGGAAAACCUGGGCUGUUAUUAUUUGCAUUUUACAACGAGGGAAACAGGCACAGAGCCGGUAAGUAACCCGCUCAGACUAACCCCAUCAUUAACUGGCAGAGUCGGAACUAGAGCCCCGGCAAGCUGAAUCCAGAGCCCGUGUGCUUAUCUACCAGGCCUUUGUGGUUCCCAGCCCUAUUCAGAUUACAAGGCCUCCCUGCCCUUGGUCAUCCUCGCCCGAGGAAAGCUGAACUCCCCAUCAGGAGGGUUGUAAAGAGCCAGUGAUGGUCACAUGCCACCUCUACCCUUUGACCAACAUUCUCAGCCUGUCAACUUUGUCCAACACUGGAGACCUUUGGGACAUCACGCCUGCCCUUUCACUCUGGGGGAGACCGAGGCCUGGAGGAAGAAGGCUGCCCGGGCCCACCUGGCCAUCCCCUGCCACCUGGGGAGGCCGAAGAGUCUUUGAGGCAGUGAAGGAGGCAGUCGGGGGACGAUGGUGGUGAAAGGAGGCAGGAAGGGUAAG